AGUUUCCUACUAUUUCACCGUGCCAUCGAGCACACCACAAGCAAACCCCCCAAAACCCACCACACCAGGAACCGUCGCGUCUCCCGGACUCCCUCUCCGUCCCCGGCCGCCGGCGCCGCCUCGAAUGCCGGAGCCGCAGGCCAUCCUCCCGCUCCGCGCGCUCCCGCCGGACGCGCCGCUGCCCCUCCCCGUCCCCGCGCCGUUCCACCCCCAAACCCCUGCCCCCGCGUCGGCCGCCCCGGCCACGCCCCCGAACCCGACCCCUCCCCAACCCCAAACCCCCGCCGCGCCGCCUUCUUCCUCCUCGACGCGGCCGCCGCACCCAUGGGAGAUCUCCGCGUGCGCCUGGCUCGAGUCCUUCCCCGACGGCCGCCCGCCCACCGAGCCCGAGGUCGACGCCUACAUCGACGCCCACCGCCCCGAGCUCCCCUCUCUGCCCCGCUCUCAGCUACACCAGCGCCUCCUCGCCCUCCGCGGCGACCAGGUUUUAGAUGCGGACCAGAGCGCAUUCCCCUACAGGUUCCAGCGAACUGAUCUAUGGAAGCCUGUGUACCAGUGGUUGGAAUCUCUUGAUAUGGACUCACUAGUUGCCACACAGCAAAUAUCAGACUGGCUUGCAUCGAACCCUAAGAUAAUGGACAAGCUGGUUGAGAAACAUUCAAAAUAUCAUUUGAUUCACUAUACCCAGAGGAUGCACUUGAAGAUGCUAAAAAAGAAGGGGAAGCUGCCAAAGACUCUACAGCUUUCUGCGGCUAGAGCCACAGUUCAACCGAGUGCUGCUCCAGUGGCUCCAGAAGAAAACAUAGCACCAUUGCGGAAAACUAUACCUCCAGUAACAGGUAGGUUCCCCAGUGGCAGUGCAGGCAAACAACAGAGUGCAGCAGGCAGAUUUCAAGGUGGAAAUGCAACUCCUAGGGACAAGAAGACGUCAUUGUCCAAAAAGAAGGAAGCUUUGCUCAAAUAUGAACUUUUGACAGAUUUGCAGAACCAAUUGACUGCUGUGCUGUUAAAUCAAUGUCGCACCGUUGCCACUAAAGAAGCAGAUUCAUCGUAUGUGGAACCUCAAAAUCCAGAUACUAACAUGAAUAUACGAGAAGGUAAUACUGCUGCAAGCGCAUCAGCCCCUUCAGAGGCAACUAAGGUUUUCGUCAGUGAAAAGUCAAUCCCAGCUGCAGCCACAGAAAGUGAACUUGGGCAAAACAGGAAAAGAAACCCUAUCAUUGUUACACCUGCAUGGUGUUAUAGUGAAGCGUCGACAGGAACUGCGCGGAAUGAACAAAAUUCUAAUUCAAGUAGUGAUGCUACAAGAAAUUUCAACAUUUGGAAAGGACAUGCUAAUCCACUGUUCCGACCUAGAGAUAUUAAGAAAAAUAUAUCGUUCUGUCUCGACGGACGUGAAACUGGUGCCAGUUGGUCUCAAGCUUCUUCUUAUGGAGGUUAUGCUGGACGAAAUUCUGAAAGAUGGACUCCAUUUCUUGAAGGAUGGAAUUCACCUGCAGUCCAGUUUGAAGGGCCUGCAGUACCUCUUGUGAGAAAAGGCUACCUGUCUUGGUGUCCAACUUCGUGUGCUUAUACGUCAAGUGCUCCUUCUGCACAGCCUCAUGAUAGGCAAGGUGUCCGCAAAGUUCUUGAUGUAAAAUUUCAUCCAGAAGGGUUGCCUCAGCUUGUUUCUAGCUCUAAUGAGGCACCCAACGAGUUAUUGCUUUUCAAUCUUCUUUCCGGAAGGGCAAUUCAGCUUAGAGGCCACAAUACCAAGGUUCAGUCUGUCGCAUUUGCAGUCAAAGGAGCAAGUAUCGUAUCUUGUGCUUCUAAUUUAUUGAAGGUAUGGGACUGCAUCACAGGGUCUUGCCUCUAUACGCUGGGUGGUGAUGACCGAAAUUCGGUGGGGCAUACUCAAAAAAUUAAUGCUAUGGCAGUGAAUAAAUGGCAAUCCUGUCUUGUUGUCACUAGCGGGGCAAAAGGUGAUGGGAAGCUUCUACUAUGGAAUGCUUUAAGAGGUGAACUUGCUUCUGAUCUGAAUUCGAACUUGAGGUCCCAGGAUAUGGUCUAUCCUUCAGUUGAUACAAUGGAGUUCUAUAGUGAAAAUCAUCUGGCAUGCGGAAGUGACUGUGAUUAUGGUGGCUCAGCUGUGGUACAAUUAUGGGAUAUUGAUUCUCCAGAGUCAUACUUAUCUUUCUCUGCAAGUGAUUCUUAUAUUACUUCCCUUAAAGCCAACCCUGCUGGGAACACUAUCAUUACAGGUUCUGGUGAUGGGACUAUCGGCUUAUUUGACGUCCGUACUUGUUCUGCAAUUAACCAUUUGUCAGUGGGAACUGGUUGUGAGGUUACAUCUGUUUCAUUUAGCAACUGCGGCACCUAUUUUUCUGCUUCUAGCACAUCAAAUAAUACUUUGGUUUGGGAUACAAGACUAGUCCCAAUUAAUCAAAGCAAGGACGUUUCGCAAAGCAGAGACAUGCGGUUUUUUCGGCCUUUACAUUGCUUGAGCCAUGGAAAUCAGAUGCCUACUGCAGAAUAUACUAGUCAACUGCCAGGUCAUGUUGACGAGGGUGAUCAGGGGGUAAAUGCCACACAGUGGCUGCACGGUGAACCUGUACUUGUUACUGUAAGUGGAGAUGGCAGUGUUGGAAUGUGGGAUGUUACUCUAGGUCAACCUUGCGUCAGACAUAUUGUCACUCAUACUCGAUGUGCUAAUGCGGUUGCUGUUGCCCCUAAUGACGAAUACAUCUCCACAGGAGGAAGUGAUCAGAAAGUUGUUUUAUACCAUAAUAUAAGUGGGCGUACACAUCUUAAUUGGCGUCUCUCACAUCCUCUGCAAGGAAAUGAUUGAUAUGCUGCCAGAAAUCAUAGAAUUGAUCCACCAAUGUGCUGGAGAGUUCUCUGAGUCAGGUAGUAGUAGAACUUUGGCAGAAACUUGGCUGCUCCGUAUGGAUGUGGAGCCAGGACUAUUGAAGGCUCUGCUUGAUGGACGACUGAAGCUUGUGUUGGGCCUUAACAUUAAUGCCUUGCCCUGGUAUUGGUUGGUUUUCCAUAGUUGAGUGCACAGUCUUAUCCAUCUUCACUCGCGGUGGGCACCUAUAUCCCUCAUGCAUUAUCAUCCGAUAAUUUCUAAUUUUCUUUUACAUCGUUGCAGAUUGUAAUGCUAAGGAAUAUGUUUCCCCAAGUUAACUGCCUUUUGCUUGUUUUAAUGUUUUCUAUGUACAGGCAUGGCAUAUGUAGCCUUGCCUUGCCUGUUUGGAUAUGAUGGAUUUCCUUUCAUGCCUUGCCGUCUGCACAAUAUACUUCGCACCAGCCUACACGUGCUUGCUUCAGUCAUUUUUGGUUUCAAGACUAACUGGCUUAUUCUUUAUUGCACUGAGUUCCCCCAAAUGGUGGUCUUGGAAGAAUGCUCCCUUCACAGAUGCUGUGACAUAAUCCAAACUAUAAAAAUUGAGCAUAAAGUCCCCCUUCUUCAGUUUCAUCUCUGGGGUUUACCUGUUGAAUUGUCUCAAGUGUGAGGCUUCCAGGACCUAACAUACCAUUUACUGAAGUUAUUGCAAGUAUCUUCAUUUGCCCAUAUGGUUGGCGUUCCUCCAUGGUAGUAUCCAGUGUAUCCCAUAAGUUUGUUAAUGCUUUUACGAGGUUUUGGAGCUACAAAAUAAUACCUGCAUUAGUAGGCAAUAAUGUAUGUAGUUCCCAAGUUUCUUUAUUAUUCUUUCUUUAAUUUUCACUAUAUAUUUCCUAUUGGAAUAGCAGAAGCAAUAACUUGUUACUCCUAAAAUUAUUAAUAAGUUCGAAGGUGAUAUUUUGUAAGAGGACUAAUGAAGUGUCUGGCAAAUGCAUUAUGCCAGUUUGCUUUCUGCUAUUCUUGAUCUAAUUACGCUAAUUCUUUUCAAUACGUAUCACUCCGUGAGAGCUUGAAUGUAUUAACCUAACCAAGUGAAGCGUGGCUACAGUGGUGGGUACCAGACAUAUGACAAAUCACCUUCUCCCUUCUAUUGUUCUUCUCUUCUUUAAGCUGCUGAACAGUCAUGUUGAGCUUUUUGAGGAUUUCAUCACUGAUAUUCUUUGUCUGUUGCUCGUUUGGUCCAUCUAACAAUCUUGGGUGAACAUUAGCGAGUAGCUUUGAAGGAUCCAUUCCCAUGACUUUUCCAAAAUUCUGAAUUAGAACUUUGUAUUCUUCAACUUUGCAGAGGCGAUCACUCUGGAGAAAACAAAAUUCCAAAAUCAGAUCCAGGCCUGUUAUUUAUUAUAUUGCAGGUUUCUCAUCAAGUCAAGGAGACGUGUACCUUCUCUCUUUUCAUUAUUUGCAAUUCGCUUUGGAAUUCCUCGAGUUUCUUCAGUGACAGAUCUUCGUCAUUUACAGUGACAGUUUCGGUCCCCAAUCGUCCAGCAAUUUCAGAAGCAAUUCUUUGUAUUUCAGUUUGAACCUCCAUGAACUGUUUUACUCUGGCUUCUUUUCUCAUCUGCAUUUCUUGUAGGGCGGGUGUAAUGGAAUUCAGCUGCUCCUUUAGAGUGCCUGCCAUUUUUUCAGGCUGCAUAAAAGGAAUACAUGUUAGCUUCCAA
RNA transcript from Panicum virgatum (switchgrass), 4542 nucleotides. RefSeq lists it as uncharacterized. The record is from RefSeq and is a predicted model, not a curated record. Lineage: Eukaryota; Viridiplantae; Streptophyta; Magnoliopsida; Poales; Poaceae. The transcript has 23 exons.